UACGGGGGGGGCAAGCGUUGUUCGGAAUUACUGGGCGUAAAGGGUGCGUAGGCGGGCCUUUAAGUCAGUGGUGAAAUCUCCCCGCUCAACGGGGAAACUGCCAUUGAUACUAUUGGUCUUGAAUUUAGUUGAGGUGGGCGGAAUGUGUCGUGUAGCGGUGAAAUGCUUAGAUAUGACACAGAACACCGAUUGCGAAGGCAGCUCGCUAAACUAAUAUUGACGCUGAGGCACGAAAGCGUGGGGAUCAGACAGG
Molecule: ribosomal RNA, 253 nt
Filed under: uncultured bacterium
Lineage: Bacteria
Description: partial 16S ribosomal RNA
Rfam family: Bacterial small subunit ribosomal RNA
Source: RNAcentral